RNAcentral lists this transfer RNA (67 nucleotides) under Strophurus mcmillani (short-tailed striped gecko). RNAcentral's name for it is "tRNA-Trp". The record is from RNAcentral. Lineage: Eukaryota; Metazoa; Chordata; Lepidosauria; Squamata; Diplodactylidae.
AGAAACUUAGGUUAAUCUAAACCAGGGACCUUCAAAGUCCCAAAUAGGGGCACCCUCCUAGUUUCUG